CGCGGCAGGUACUGGUGCAUGCCCGGGAACAUCACCGCCGGCGGCGCCAUGCCGCUGCCCAUCCACAUCAUCUGCACCUGCAUCUGCAGCGUCUUCAGGUACUCGAUGGCCUCGUCCAGCAUCGACGCCUUGUCCGUCUGACCACACGAAUACAAAACCAACAAGCAGAUCAAUUAAUUACUACUGUAGGUUGUUGGUCAAAAAGAAAAGAAUUUUGUGUGUUGUGCGAGCGAGGUUUGGCACCUUGUUGCAGUGAGGUAUGAGUUCUUGCAAGGCCUUCAUCUUCUCGUUGAUCCUGUCUCGUCUCCUCUGCAUCACAGACAGCAGCAGUGUCAGAGAGGAGAGUUAAAGAUCGAUGUAAUAAUCAUCAGCAGUCUGAAUUAAUUACACGCCGGCCACGCACCCGCUCGGAGAGGUUGUGCACCUCGGCUGCGCGGCUCCUCCUGGCCGUGGGGAGCUUCAGCGGAGGCUUGCGCUCGAUGAGCGCCAAGGACUCCGACUCCGCGUCCUCGCUGGGGCUCUCGGAGUAGUCCUCGGUGCGGCUGUCGAGCCGCUUCCGCUUGCUGCUGCUCCGGAGGCUCGCGCUCGUCGGCUCCGUGGACGUCGUCGUCGUGUUCGUGAAGCAGCCGUUGGAGCGCCCCGACGACGACGCCACCGUGGCCUCACGGCCUCUGCCGUUUGCAUUAAUCCCGCUGCCCACCGCCGACUGCAGCCGGGCGCUGCUGCCGUAGGCAGCGGUGCCCGCGGACUGCACGCGGCCGGCGUGCUGCACCUGCACCUGGUUGCUGCUCCCGCAGAACGACGACGCCGACGCGCCCUCCUGCUCCAUGGCCGCCGCCGCCGCCUUCCCCGUGGACCGGGCCUGCACGAGGUCCGACAGCUCGCCGCCGUCCGCCAUGGUCGACUUGGGCGGCGGCAUCAGCUCGCUCGGCGCGUCGGACGACUUGCUGCCGUUGCCGUCUCCGUAGCAGUCCGGCUUGAUCCCCACUGCCUGAGGCACGGCUUCGCAGAAGAGGUCCGAGAAGAUGUCCUUGUCGAGCGAGUCGGCGUGCGAGAAAGGGAACCACAGCCCGGCCUCGUCUUCUUGCAUCACCGCCGCCGCCGCCGCCGCCUUUUCGGGCCUCGGCGGCAGCUUCCGGUGAGUCUGGCUCUGCAUGACCACAUGGCCGUUGCACCACAGCAGCUCCAUGAGGUCAUCGUCCACGCUGCACACCCAAAAACACACAUCAUGCAACAAACGUCAGGAUUUACCCUUCGAUCAGUUUGGCCUAUCAUCAGAUUACUCACAGCCGUUGAUCAAUUAAGCGAUCGAGUACGAACCCGAGGGGUCUGGAUGCGUCUCCCAUGUUUGCUCCAAUCAGCUGGAACGUACGAGUUGGCUAAUGCCUCAGAUCAUACGACUUGGUGAGUGAGUGACUCGCUUCAGUGCAGACUGCAGAAGCAGAGGAAAUGGUAAUUUAGAAUCACAACAAAACCAGGUUCAUCAAACAAUUAAAAAAAAAAGAACCACAGGAAUAUUACGAAGAUAACUGUAAUGUAACAUGAAUUUUUUAUGUUGACUGACAACGAUAACGGAUUGACCAUAAGCAGUUUAUGUCGCUUUGUCUAGGAUCCUGCAGCACACCAUGAUUUGGCUUCAGAUGACGAAGGCAAAGCAUGUGCGAUAGAGCAGCCGACAGGCUAGCAUUAUGUAAUGGCAACAGAAAUCCCAGAUAUAUAUGAGUUUCCAA
RNAcentral lists this long non-coding RNA (1730 nucleotides) under Brachypodium distachyon (stiff brome). RNAcentral's name for it is "long non-coding RNA (BDIS_LNC000178)". The record is from RNAcentral. Lineage: Eukaryota; Viridiplantae; Streptophyta; Magnoliopsida; Poales; Poaceae.